AAGUCGUAACAAGGUUUCCGUAGGUGAACCUGCGGAAGGAUCAUUAACACGUUAUCCACGUAUCAACCAAUGCGAACCGUUUUCAACUCUCUCCUCCGGGGAAUGAAUUGAGCCUGUAAAGUUGUUGAAUGGGAUGUUCUGCAUCAGACUUUACUCGCCACUGACUUAGUGUAGAAAUACAUUUGGGUCGACAAUUGUAUCUUUUAGGAGGACAAACUCUCACUGUUCAGUCUCCAUUCAUUGACUCUUUCAGUGGGAACCUAUUUUCACAUAUUUCACCACCUUUUUGCUAGUUGACUUUUCUAUGUUGUACCUUUGUUUCGGCAAUGGUGCACACGUUUAAUUAUUUGAACGUUAAAAAUACAACUCUUAGCAAUGGAUAUCUUGGUUCUC
Molecule: unclassified non-coding RNA, 393 nt
Filed under: fungal sp.
Lineage: Eukaryota; Fungi
Description: partial internal transcribed spacer region
Rfam family: Eukaryotic small subunit ribosomal RNA (bases 1-46)
Source: RNAcentral